GAGGAAUAUUGGUCAAUGGGUGCAAGCCUGAACCAGCCAUCCCGCGUGAAGGACGACUGCCCUAUGGGUUGUAAACUUCUUUUGUAUAGGGAUAAACCUACCCUCGUGAGGGUAGCUGAAGGUACUAUACGAAUAAGCACCGGCUAACUCCGUGCCAGCAGCCGCGGUAAUACGGAGGGUGCAAGCGUUAUCCGGAUUUAUUGGGUUUAAAGGGUCCGUAGGCGGACUUAUAAGUCAGUGGUGAAAGCCUGUCGCUUAACGAUAGAACUGCCAUUGAUACUGUAAGUCUUGAGUAUAUUUGAGGUAGCUGGAAUAAGUAGUGUAGCGGUGAAAUGCAUAGAUAUUACGUAGAACACCAAUUGCGAAGGCAGGUUACCAAGAUAUAACUGACGCUGAGGGACGAAAGCGUGGGGAGCGAAC
Molecule: ribosomal RNA, 420 nt
Filed under: uncultured bacterium
Lineage: Bacteria
Description: bacterial SSU rRNA
Rfam family: Bacterial small subunit ribosomal RNA
Source: RNAcentral